Molecule: ribosomal RNA, 311 nt
Filed under: uncultured fungus
Lineage: Eukaryota; Fungi
Description: partial small subunit ribosomal RNA
Rfam family: Eukaryotic small subunit ribosomal RNA
Source: RNAcentral
GCUUGUCUCAAAGAUUAAGCCAUGCAUGUCUUAGUGUAAAUAACUCUUAUGAAACUGCGAAUGGCUCAUUAAAUCAGUUAUCAAAUACGUGAUGGUCGCCUACUACAUGGAUAACCGUAGUAAUUCUAGAGCUAAUACAUGCAUAAAUACCCAACUGUUCGCGGACGGGUAGUAUUUAUUAGAUUGAAACCAAUUGAUCUCGGUCAACUUGUGGUGAUUCAUAAUAACUUUGCGGAUCGCAUGGCCUUGCGCCGGCGAUAGAUCGUAAGCGUUUCUACCCUAUCAGCUCUGGAUUGUAGUGUAUUGGACUA